Molecule: long non-coding RNA, 400 nt
Organism: Neopelma chrysocephalum (saffron-crested tyrant-manakin)
Lineage: Eukaryota; Metazoa; Chordata; Aves; Passeriformes; Pipridae
Exons: 2
Source: RefSeq, a predicted model, not a curated record
ACUGGAAACAAACCCCUCAGCACGAUGACUCCAGACCUGCACGAGCCACUCAGCUGAGCCUCGUGUUCACCAACGUCACAAACAGUCCUGGAAAUUUCGUUAGUGACACGAGAAUUGCCACUGUCAGCAAAGCCCUCCAGGACCUCACCAGGGCUCCCCUGUGUGCCAGCAACGCCGGUGCCAGGCUAAUUUCUUAAGACAGCGUGUAAAGAAGACCACGCAGGCAAACCAAGCCAGACACUCUUGCGGCAGGUUAGGAUGAAUCCAGACCCCAUUCCGGGCCGUGUGCUGCCUGCGGGAGCAUCUCCCAUCCGCAGAACCACCACGGCUUUCCCGACAAGAGCAACACGACAUCAGGGUUUUUCCACUGUGCCUAAUAAUCGUAACAUCUCACUCGCCA